GUGGGGAAUAUUGGACAAUGGGCGCAAGCCUGAUCCAGCCAUGCCGCGUGAGUGAUGAAUGCCCUAGGGUUGUAAAGCUCUUUCAGUGGGGACGAUAAUGACGGUACCCACAGAAGAAGCCCCGGCUAACUUCGUGCCAGCAGCCGCGGUAAUACGAAGGGGGCUAGCGUUGUUCGGAUUUACUGGGCGUAAAGCGCACGUAGGCGGAUCGUUAAGUCGAGGGUGAAAUCCUGGAGCUCAACUCCAGAACUGCCUUCGAUACUGGCGAUCUUGAGUCCGGAAGAGGUGAGUGGAACUCCUAGUGUAGAGGUGGAAUUCGUAGAUAUUAGGAAGAACACCAGUGGCGAAGGCGGCUCACUGGUCCGGUACUGACGCUGAGGUGCGAAAGCGUGGGGAGCAAACAGGAUUAGAAACCCGUGUAGUCC
Molecule: ribosomal RNA, 425 nt
Filed under: uncultured bacterium
Lineage: Bacteria
Description: partial 16S ribosomal RNA
Rfam family: Bacterial small subunit ribosomal RNA
Source: RNAcentral